This 497-nucleotide ribosomal RNA is filed under the name uncultured bacterium. RNAcentral's name for it is "partial 16S ribosomal RNA". It matches the Rfam family "Bacterial small subunit ribosomal RNA", at positions 28 to 507 of the family's 1533-position model. The record is from RNAcentral.
GACGAACGCUGGCGGCGUGCCUAAUACAUGCAAGUAGAACGCUGACGAGAGGAGCUUGCUCUUCUUGGAUGAGUUGCGAACGGGUGAGUAACGCGUAGGUAACCUGCCUUGUAGCGGGGGAUAACUAUUGGAAACGAUAGCUAAUACCGCAUAACAAUGGAUGACACAUGUCAUUUAUUUGAAAGGGGCAAUUGUUCCACUACAAGAUGGACCUGCGUUGUAUUAGUUAGUAGGUGAGGUAAUGGCUAACCUAGGCGACGAUACAUAGCCGACCUGAGAGGGUGAGCGGCCACGCUGGGACGGAGACACGGCCCAGACUCCUACGAGAGGCAGCAGGAGGGAAUCUUCGGCAAUGGGGGCAACCCUGACCGAGCAACGCCGCGUGAGUGAAGAAGGUUGUCGGAUCGUAAAGCUCUGUUGUAAGUCAAGAACGGGUGUGAGAGUGGAAAGUGCACACUGUGACGGUAGCUGACCAGAAAGGGACGGCUAACUACGUG